AUAUUCCAUUUCUAUUGAUUUUAAGAAAUUUUCUAAACUUUAUAAAGAUUUUGGUUCGCAAAGUUCACUGGGGGUUUCAGAGACUUGAGUAUUUAAAUUACAGUCAAUAAUGUUUUAGGCUUCUAAGUUUACCAUUUAGCCAACGAUCAAUCUCUUCAGUUCCUACUGUAACCCCGAAUUCCCUGUUUAGGGUUUUGUGUUGACGGGCAUUUGGCUCCUCUUUUAGGUUUUUGACACGUUAUCUAUCCAUUAAAAUUCAAUUUGUGCAAAAUUCGAACAAUUUUUGGGUUUCCAAUUCAUUGUUCUGCUAUUGGUUUAUUGAAUUUCAUUUUUGUUUGCAUUCUGAUUCAUUUUUCUCUAGGGCUUUGACACAUCUUCUUUGUCUUGUGGCGUCUAUUUCUUCAAAUUUCUGAGGCAAAAAGAUGGGGAUGAGGGUUUUCAGUAUAUAGUCUUGGAUCUAAUACAUGUUUCCCUGGUAUGUACUUUCAAUUUAUGAGAGAAAUUUAGGGAUUGGUUGAUAAUUUUGAGGAUUUAGAGCUUUUUGAUGCAAUAAUGGGAAAACUGGUGAAUACAUAACCACUCAUACUCAGCAUUGAACUAGACCUACUUCUAGUGACUCCCAUUUAGGUUUUCCCCAUUCAGCCAUGGCUGCUUCCUCUCAAAAGCCAGUUACAAUCCCUUCUAUACCAACCAAGCCUGCCUCAUCCACUGUUCCUACGCCCCCAACUCUCCGACCACCCCCUGCUUUCCCUUCUUACUUGAGCAGCCCAAAUAUCCACCUGAAAAUCAAAACUCUCUGUGAAAUCCUUGUCAAAUGCUCUGUUGGAGAGGUUGAAAUCGCUCUGUCGAAUUCCGGAAUUCAAGUGAAUUCUGAAGAUAUCGAAUCCGUUCUCCGCCUCUCUUAUGCUGCUCCCACUGCUUGUGUGAAGUUUUUCCGAUGGUCUGGUUUUCAAGCGAAGCCAACGCCGUAUGCCUGGAACCUAUUGGUCGAUCUUCUUGGAAAGAAUCGACUUUUUGAGGCAAUGUGGGAUGCCGUUAGGUCCAUGAAGCAAGAGGACCUGCUAUCUUUAGCUACAUUUGCCUCCAUAUUCAGCAGCUAUGUUAAAGCUGAUAAAUGCAGCGAAGCGAUCAUGGCCUUUGACAUAAUGGACCGAUAUGGGUGCCCACAAGAUGUUGCUGCUCUAAAUUCUCUGCUAAGUGCUAUUUGUAGGGACAAUGAGACGGCGAAAGCUUUGGAGUUCUACGACAAAGCGAAGGAGAAGAUAGUGCCAGAUGCUGAUAGCUUUGCUAUUUUAUUAGAGGGUUGGGAGAAAGAGGGCAAUGUGGUCAAGGCCCGACACACUUUUGGGGAGAUGAUAAUUAGGCGCGGUUGGGAUUCGAAGAACAUGUCAGCUUAUGAUGCCUUCUUGACUACUCUGGUCAAGGGUUCAGAAGUUCAAGAGGCCCUAAAGUUUCUCAAGGUGAUGAAGGACAGGAAGUGUUUACCAGGUAUGAAGUUUUUUGAGAACACCAUUGAUAUUCUGAUCAAGCAAAAUAAUCCCAGUGAUGCUUGUUUGCUUUGGGAAAUCAUGGUUAGUAAUGGAGUACUCCCCAAUUUAGUUAUGUAUAAUGCCAUUAUAGAGUUGCUUAGCAAUAACAAUAUGGUCGACCCGGCUUAUAAGUACCUCGAUGAGAUGGUCUAUGAUGGAGCUUUCCCGAAUUCUCAAACUUACAAUCUUAUUUUUCAUUGCCUGGUCAAGAAUAAGAAAGUAAGAGAGGCCACUAAUUUCUUUCAUGAGAUGGUGAAAAAUGAAUUUUACCCCGACCCGCAAAAAUGCACUUUUGCCAUUAAAAUGUUCUUUGAGGAAGAUGACCCAGAAAUGGCAAUCGAGAUUUGGGAAUGUGUUUUUGAGAAUGAGAUACACCCAAUGGAAGAGAGUGCAAACGUAUUGCUUGUGGGGCUUAGAGAUUACGAUAGGCUAUCAGAGGUUAAGAGGUUCAUGGGGAAUAUACUUGACAAAAAGAUCAAAGUAAAUACCUCAACAAUGAGGAAACUAAGAAAUGCUUUUGUGAAGGCAGGAAAGGAGGAUACGUAUGAUUGGAUAGCGAAAAGGUGGGGAGCUCAGUGGGAGGAUUCAAGCCAGUGAGAUUUCCAUUCCUGUUUCUUUGACAACCUUUUCUUUUUUAAAAUGUUUUACAUUUGUAAGAAAGCUCCCAUUAGAGAGAUUGGACUUGGAUCAAGAGCUGAUCUCGGUUGAAGGUUCAAUCCAGAGAGUACAUCAACAGUUAAAGAAAUACAUGCAGUAUAACGGCUUUUUCUCGUUCUCCUCGUUGUGUUGCAAUAAAUGUCUCUCUCUCUCUUUCAGCGGACCUCAACGUAUCUUCUCUGGCUAGAGACUAUUUAUUCAGUGGUUGAUUUUCUUUAGUUUCGGGUUUGCAAGCACAGGAUAAUCUUUCCAAAUUUGAACCGUGAAAGUGGGACCAGCUAUGAUCCAGAUUGGCUAGGACAUUGAUCCAUUAAUUAUGUUCCUCAUUCCUCUUUCGUGAUCAGUUAACUAGUUCAUGUUAUAGGGAUUGGCAAAAAGAGAUGUUGAUAUAGUAGAUUUGAAAUUUGUGUUGUAUUAGCAAAAAUAUGAACAUUUUGUAAGAAAAUAUUCUAUGAAACACUGUAAAUACAAUGUAAGGUACUGGACAUUGCUCAUUUGUGGUUA
Molecule: non-coding RNA, 2690 nt
Organism: Amborella trichopoda
Lineage: Eukaryota; Viridiplantae; Streptophyta; Magnoliopsida; Amborellales; Amborellaceae
Source: RefSeq, a predicted model, not a curated record